RNAcentral lists this transfer RNA (69 nucleotides) under Chinolyda flagellicornis. RNAcentral's name for it is "tRNA-His". The record is from RNAcentral. Lineage: Eukaryota; Metazoa; Arthropoda; Insecta; Hymenoptera; Pamphiliidae.
ACUUAAAUAGUUUAAUUAAAAACUUUGAUUUGUGGGAUCAAAAAUGUAAUUUUAAUAUUAUUUUAAGUU